This 261-nucleotide ribosomal RNA is filed under the name uncultured prokaryote. Its description in RNAcentral is "partial 16S ribosomal RNA". It matches the Rfam family "Bacterial small subunit ribosomal RNA", at positions 524 to 784 of the family's 1533-position model. The record is from RNAcentral.
UACGUAGGGGGCAAGCGUUAUCCGGAUUUACUGGGUGUAAAGGGAGCGCAGACGGAACUGCAAGUCUGAUGUGAAAGCCCGGGGCUCAACCGCGGGACUGCAUCGGAUAUUGUAGAUCUGGAGUGCCGGAGGGGCAAGCGGAAUUCCUGGUGUAGCGGUGAAAUGCGUAGAUAUCAGGAGGAACACCGGCGGCGAAGGCGGCUUGCUGGACGGCAACUGAUGUUGAGGCUCGAAAGCGUGGGGAGCAAACAGGAUUAGAUA